AUCACUCGUUUAUAUCGGAGAGAGAUCUCUUAUUUUCUUACCCUAGAAGUGAAGCUUGUGAAUAUCCAUCCCUUAUGAGUAGCAAUUAGAAAAGUUUGGGUAAAGAAAUAUAUGGUCCUCUAAAUUAAAAUCAAAGUAGUAUUUUAGUUCAAUCUGAUCAAGCAUACAAACUGAAGUUAGCAAGCAUAUUGGAGCAACAGGGAGACAAGGGAAUAUUGCCAGAAAAUGUGUCAAGUCCCAGUACCUGUUAACUUGCAUACAUAUGCGGCAUCCGUUCCGGUGUUUAAUGGCUCAAAUUUCACGGAAUGGAGCGAGCAUGUCAAGUUCAGUCUAGCCAUAAAUGACUUGGAUCGUUGUUUAACUGCCGAGAAACCUGCUGCGCUUACUGACACUAGCAGUGCUGAUGACAAAAGAAAUUUUGAUGUCUGGGAGAGGUAGAACAGAUUAAGCCUAAUGUUCAUUAGAAUGGCAAUUCUUCCAAACAUCGGGACAUCUAUCCCCGUUAUUGAUACUGCUGUAGAAUUGCUCAAAGAAAUUGAUGCGCGUUUUCGUGCAGCUGAUAAGUCCUUAGCUGGAACACUAAUGGCAAAACUCACUACCAUGAAAUAUGAUGGUUCAAGGAGUAUGCAGGAGCACAUUAUAGAAAUGACUAGCAUAGCAGCAAAACUAAAUGCCCUUGAUAUGACUGUGGCUGAAGGUUUCCUUGUUCGUUUUAUUUUGAAUUCCUUGCCUCCUCUGUAUGGUCCAUUCCAGAUAAAUUAUAAUUCUUUUAAAGAAAAAUGGAAUGUGAAUGAACUCUCGAAUAUGUUAGUUCAAGAGGAAGCAAGGCUUAAACAACAAGGAAAUUUUGUUGCUAAUGUUAUGUCUGAGAGUGCUCAUAAGAAAAAGUGGAAGCCUAAGAAAGGAUCUGCGUCUCAACCACCAAAAGUGGAAGGGCCUGUUGAUGCAUUAUAGGCUAAGAAGGAUAAAAGUUUUCCCUGCCACUUUUGCAAGAAGAAAGGACACUUUCAGAAUGAAUGCCUACAGCGUAAGGCAUGGUUCAAAAAGAAAGGGAUACCUUUCAAGCCGAAACCCAAAACCAACUGAACGUUUUCUUCUCAUGGGAAACCAUAGCCAGGCUGAAGUAAAAGCAAUAGGAACCUACCGUCUAUUUUUGCACACCGGACAGUACAUAGAUCUUUUUGAUACCCUUUUUGUACCUACAUUGUCUCGAAAUUUGAUAUCUUUAUCAAAGUUAAAUAUGUCUGGAUACUCUUUUGAACUUAAUAAUCAAUGUUUCAGCCUGUUUAAAAA
Papaver somniferum (opium poppy) is the source of this 1293-nucleotide long non-coding RNA. RefSeq lists it as uncharacterized. The transcript has 3 exons. The record is from RefSeq and is a predicted model, not a curated record. Lineage: Eukaryota; Viridiplantae; Streptophyta; Magnoliopsida; Ranunculales; Papaveraceae.